AUGAAUCUAUUAAGUUGGAACUGCCGGGGGGGGGGGACUCUCACAGUUCGCGAACUCGCGACUUUGGUCAAAUCGCAUUCCCCCACUCUCGUGUUUUUGUGUGAGACGAGACAGUCUGCUAGCAAGAUGAAGAGGCAUCGCUCAAGAUUGGGCCUGAAGGGCUUUGAUGGUGUUGAUUCUAGUGGUAAUAGUGGAGGUUUGGCACUGUUUUGGCACGAGGAUCUG
This 225-nucleotide ribosomal RNA is filed under the name Triticum aestivum (bread wheat). RNAcentral's name for it is "partial small subunit ribosomal RNA". Lineage: Eukaryota; Viridiplantae; Streptophyta; Magnoliopsida; Poales; Poaceae. The record is from RNAcentral.